This 1261-nucleotide long non-coding RNA is filed under the name Bos taurus (domestic cattle). RNAcentral describes it as "long non-coding RNA NONBTAT024617". Lineage: Eukaryota; Metazoa; Chordata; Mammalia; Artiodactyla; Bovidae. The record is from RNAcentral.
CCAUAGAAACACAUAGACACACAUCAGUGUCCAAAUUUUCCUCAAGUUAUGGGGAUGUCUGCAUUAAUCCAUGUUGAUGAAUGAGGCACAUCUCUUCCAUACCCCAGUCUCACCUUCUCCCUGCCCUACCUCACCUCUUCUCAGGCACCCCCUCCUCCCCAGCCUCCUCCGCACAGGGGGAACUAUUUGGAUGUGGAGUAGUAGGGAAGCUGGCCUGAGACACAGCUUCCAGUGCAGUCUUGCCUGAAUGUACUGUUCCCUGUUAGCGUUAUUUCUCCUGGGGUCAGUAAGCUGCCCAGAGAGAAGGAAGACAGGUCUGGAGUUUACAGAAUGUCUGUUUUUAAAGUCACUUUAUGCGUUUCCCACUUUUUUUUUUUUUUAAAGAAAAAAGCACCGGUUUUUUUGGUGGUGGAUAAAUAAUACUAAAAGGAAUCUAGUGAAAGGGGGAAAAAAUCAUAGAGCAAGAGGAUUGUGGAUUUCCAGGUACUUGGAUUUUUUGUAGAAGAAGAGAGAAGUGGAUGAAGUUUGCCAGAAGGGCCCAUAUUUUUUCAGCUGAAGGGUAAAAUCUUUCUUUGCAGAGACAGUAUUUUGCUGAAUACUUUUUAUAAUGUGAUGAUUAUUUAAAAAAACAAACAAAAAUUUUGGUCACUUCAAAGCUGGAAGGAGGAAUCAGAUAACCCUUUAAUAUUUUUUCCUUGCUCCUUCUGAUCUAUGCAUGUCACUGCAUGAUAAUUCUGAGUUUUCCUUUGUUUUAAUAAAACUGUUCUCAGACAUUUAAACUAAACUAAGAGAAAAAUGACUUUGUUGCCAAAAGGUUGUGCUAUCCAGAUUUUUUAUAUGUCUGCAUGUUUUAAGAGGAAAAAAAAAAGAGAAAAUGCACUCUAACUUAUGUGAACUGAGAGAAAAAAAAAUCAGGUUUUAAACAGGAAAACCUAUGGGGAAUGAUAUUUUUUGAAAGACUUUUGUAUAAAGUUGAGUACUUAGAAAAAGACAAACCAGAUGUAAUAUAUUUUGUGGAUGUUUUUAUUUCUUGGAUUUAUAGUACCUUAUACUAAGGUUAAAAAAAUAUGCUUGAUAUUGUGAAAAGGUGAAAUUCUUCACCAACAUUUCAUUUGCUCCUUUGUCACAUUGUUAUGCCAAUAUAAUAUAGUUAAUGAAAACAGCAUUUUUAAAAACCGAAAUAUUGAAAUGGUGUCAUGUUGUACCAUUUGCACUGUGAGCAAAUGCUAAUACAGUAAAUAUAUUGUGUUUGCUGACAAUC